This is a long non-coding RNA of Bufo bufo (common toad), 227 nucleotides long. RefSeq lists it as uncharacterized. The record is from RefSeq and is a predicted model, not a curated record. NCBI's taxonomy places the organism in Eukaryota, Metazoa, Chordata, Amphibia, Anura, Bufonidae. The transcript is spliced from 3 exons.
UGAUGUCACAAUGCCGUGUCGGCUGUAUACUGGAUGAUCGGUCAAUAGAUUCUUUGAUAGAGAGUAAAGGAGAAGAGGCGACAUGGAUACUGAUUUGAUGCUUACUGUGGUGCUCACUGUCUUGGUCAGUGUUUUCCUUUGCGUCUUACUUGGUGCCAUCUGUUUCUUUCUGAGAAUGAAAAAGGAAAGAUGCAAAGAGGAAGAUGAUGAACUGAAAGAAGUUCUUA